AAAGAAAAUUGUCUAGUCUUGCUUAGAAGUUCAUCUAAAAACAACUUUCAUGUCCACAUAACCACAGAAAACAUACUACUAGGCCUAUAACCAGUAUGUUUUCUGUGACAUAACCUAAGAUUUACAUUAAGUUGGCGCAAGUUAAGUUUGAGUGAGUUUGUUAAAACUUAGCUUCUUAUACAUACUGCGUGUUUUAAGUCAAGAGAAUUAUUAUUAAAACGUUAAACAUCCACGAUAUUAACAAAGAAUCAUCUGCACUUUGCUACACAAAGGGUAUUUAUUCAAAGAUGAUUUCUCCGAGGCAACUACCAAGAAACAUGUGACAAUGUGGCUGAACCAAGCUAAAACCAGAUUAACUCUAAGGACAGAAAGGAGAAAUCAGCUGGAAAACAAGGAAGCCACACUGAAGCUGUCCAACAAGAAGAUGGCAUGUUUGAGGACUCUAAAGUGUGUUUUCUGCUCCUAUAUUAUAAGAACCACAUAUUUCAUGUUUCUAUUUUGCAUAAAAAAUUGAAUACGGUAACUCAAAGUUGAAUCAUUAUAUGUAUAAUUUAAUUAAUUUUAGUGAACUGCCUAGUGAGGUUUUGGUUUUUUAAUUCAAUAAUUUCUGUAAAAACUAAAAAUGGU
Macrosteles quadrilineatus (aster leafhopper) is the source of this 627-nucleotide long non-coding RNA. RefSeq lists it as uncharacterized. The transcript has 3 exons. NCBI's taxonomy places the organism in Eukaryota, Metazoa, Arthropoda, Insecta, Hemiptera, Cicadellidae. The record is from RefSeq and is a predicted model, not a curated record.